This 71-nucleotide transfer RNA is filed under the name Nanobdellota archaeon. Its description in RNAcentral is "tRNA-Gly". It matches the Rfam family "tRNA". From Rfam's summary of the family: Transfer RNA (tRNA) molecules are approximately 80 nucleotides in length. Their secondary structure includes four short double-helical elements and three loops (D, anti-codon, and T loops). Further hydrogen bonds mediate the characteristic L-shaped molecular structure. tRNAs have two regions of fundamental functional importance: the anti-codon, which is responsible for specific mRNA codon recognition, and the 3' end, to which the tRNAs corresponding amino acid is attached (by aminoacyl-tRNA synthetases). tRNAs cope with the degeneracy of the genetic code in two manners: having more than one tRNA (with a specific anti-codon) for a particular amino acid; and 'wobble' base-pairing, i.e. permitting non-standard base-pairing at the 3rd anti-codon position. Lineage: Archaea; Nanobdellati; Nanobdellota. The record is from RNAcentral.
GCGGCUGUAGUCUAGUGGUAUAACAAUGGCUUCCCAAGCCAUGAACCCGGGUCCGAAUCCCGGCGGCCGCA